This 801-nucleotide ribosomal RNA is filed under the name uncultured bacterium. RNAcentral's name for it is "bacterial SSU rRNA". It matches the Rfam family "Bacterial small subunit ribosomal RNA", at positions 81 to 898 of the family's 1533-position model. The record is from RNAcentral.
CGGCCUUUUAGGCAGUGGCGCACGGGUGAGUAACACGUUGGUAACCUACCUCUUGCUCGGGAAUAACCUCGCGAAAGCGUGAUUAAUACCCGAUAGUAUUACAGAGUGGAACUCUUUGUAAUUAAAGUUUUUCGGCAAGAGAGGGGCCUGCGUUCCAUCAGCUUGUUGGUGAGGUAAUAGCUCACCAAGGCUAUGACGGAUAGCUGGUUUGAGAGGAUGGCCAGCCACAAUGGGACUGAAACACGGCCCAUACUCCUACGGGAGGCAGCAGUGAGGAAUAUUCCGCAAUGGGCGAAAGCCUGACGGAGCAAUCCCCCAUAAACGAAGAAGCUUUUCGGAGUGUAAAGUUUAGUAAUUAGGGAAGAAAUCUUGACCGUACCUAAUGAAUAGUCACGGCUAACUACGUGCCAGCAGCCGCGGUAAUGCGUAGGUGGCGAGCAUUGCUCGGAUUUAUUGGGCGUAAAGCGCGUGUAGGUGUCUUGACAAGUCUUUUGUUAAAUCUCCCUGCUCAACGGGGAAAAUGUAAGAGAUACUAUCAGGAUUUGAGGAAGGUAGGGGCGAGUGGAACUUGUGGAGUAGGAGUGAAAUCCGUUGAUAUCACAAGGAACACCGAUGGCGAAAGCAACUCGCUGGGCCUUCCCUGACACUAAGACGCGAAAGCGUGGGUAGCGAAUGGGAUUAGAUACCCCAGUAGUCCACGCCGUAAACGAUGCGGACUAGUUAUCGAAGAGCAUCGACCCUCUCGGUAGCGAAGCUAACGCGUUAAGUCCGCCGCCUGGGUAGUACGAUCGCAAGAUUAAA